RNAcentral lists this ribosomal RNA (253 nucleotides) under uncultured bacterium. Its description in RNAcentral is "partial 16S ribosomal RNA". It matches the Rfam family "Bacterial small subunit ribosomal RNA", at positions 524 to 776 of the family's 1533-position model. The record is from RNAcentral.
UACGGAGGGGGCUAGCGUUGUUCGGAAUUAUUGGGCGUAAAGCGCGUGUAGGCGGUUUGUUAAGUCUGAUGUGAAAGCCCCGGGCUCAACCUGGGAAGUGCAUUGGAAACUGGCAGACUUGAGUACGGGAGAGGGCAGUGGAAUUCCCAGUGUAGGAGUGAAAUCCGUAGAUAUUGGGAGGAACACCGGUGGCGAAGGCGGCUGCCUGGACCGAUACUGACGCUGAGACGCGAAAGCGUGGGUAGCAAACAGG